This is a long non-coding RNA of Penaeus monodon (black tiger shrimp), 802 nucleotides long. RefSeq lists it as uncharacterized. NCBI's taxonomy places the organism in Eukaryota, Metazoa, Arthropoda, Malacostraca, Decapoda, Penaeidae. The record is from RefSeq and is a predicted model, not a curated record. The transcript is spliced from 2 exons.
UGAGCCUCAUUCCCCAUCUCCCAAGCCGCCCCACGGCAACAACGUGCAAAGGACUGGAGGAAUCGCAAAUGAAGAUUUUAAACAGUGUUGCUUGUGCUUCCGAAUUCUUUCACGGUAUUACGGGAAAAUUAACUCAGUUUAAGCAUUACAAUCUCAGAGAUAACUACAAUAACUGUGUUCCAGCUGCACAGACCCGACAGGAAUCGGAGGUUCGACGUUUUCUGAGCCUCGACACGCCAUUACCCUCUAAAGAGCACCACUGCUUGUGACUCGAGUGUGCAGUCCGGACAAUUUACAAGGCGUCACCACAAACCUAUUAAGCAACUGGGUAAUUUGUCAUCUAUAAAUUCCUCAAGGAAGAGACAAUGAAUCAGGUGAAGAAAACUUUACAUUUACAGAUACUAUUAUAUGGGAUUCAUAUUUUACGUUCUCAAUAUAAUGUGUUUUACAUUUAAGAUUGAACGUUGUUAUCUAAGUUUGGCUAUCGUGAUAGUACUAAAAUUGCUAGUUAUACCAGUUCCAAUUGUUUUUUUAAAGGGAAUUACCACGUAUUUCAAGUAAUAAUAUUGGCAUUGGGCAAAACAUUGCAAUAUAAGCCGCUAAUUGACCUCAGCUGUUGACGCGGCAGAUAAUUUAAAAUAAUGAAUCAAUCACUGCAGUAUUUCCAAACUUUUUUUAACACAGUUUUAAUGGCCGACAUUAGUUGUCAUUGAAAAUAUUUGCGAAAUAUCACGAACCAGUCACAAGCUUAGUCCCAUACAAGAGUAUUCAAUUCACAUAAUACUGGAUGCUAUGCAUGUAU